Non-coding RNA from Camellia sinensis, 1420 nucleotides. The record is from RefSeq and is a predicted model, not a curated record. NCBI's taxonomy places the organism in Eukaryota, Viridiplantae, Streptophyta, Magnoliopsida, Ericales, Theaceae.
AUUUUCAGGGAAGAUAAAUCAGCCCAGAGGAAGAUGAACCAGUUCAAAAAAAAGAAAAAACAGAGGGAGGAACACCACAAAUUCAUCAGAAGAGACGUUCAUCAAGCUUCUGAACAUAUGCACCAGAAGAUGCAUCGGAAUGACAGAAGACCCAGCAAAAAUCAUGGGAAUGCAUCGACGAAGCAGAAAAGGUUGAAAUAAGCCACCGGCGACUUCAACUCUUCAGCUUUCUGGUAUAUAUUGCUCGAUCUUGAGAUGAGGAUUAAAAAAUCAAGCACAAGGCCGGGGGUGAAGAGAAAAAUUUAGCAAACAAAAUUCACUUGCUAAAGAAAUAUUGAUCGAUGGAUGAAUCAACAUUGCUUCUGUGAAGUUGUUUUUGAUAGUGGUUCGUUCAAUUUUUAGGUGUGGAUCAUCUAUGUUCAAUGCAAGUGUUGGAAGACUUUCGAAGUACACCUCAACUGUGGUGAAGAGCAGUUGGAAGACUCCAAUUCUUAAACAACACGGAAUGUGUCUCGCAAUAAAUGCUCUCUCUGCUGAGGGGUCAGAAAAUGGAGAAGAAUUCAGGUCUGAUUGGAGAUUGCAGAGGGGUUUGUCGCCCGAUUCUGUCAGAGACACAAACCUGGCCGGAGGGAGCAAGAUGGAGAACGGGACAGAGGGUUGGGACAGGGAAAGGGAACAGAGUAUCCCAACCUCUCUCGCCUCUCUUUCUCUUUGUUCUUUUCAGAGCUUGUCUCUCUACGGAGCUCGCCAUAAAUGCUCUGUUUCUCACAGCCCUAUCUAUAGCUUCUCUUUCUCUUUGUUAUUCUCAGAACUUGUCUCUUCAUUCUUGUUUAUAUACUCCUUCAUAUUUGGCUCUCAGAACUUGUCUCUUCGUUCUUGUUUAUAUACUCCUCCAUAUUUGAUUACAAACACAAUAGCUUGAAAAUCUUCAACUGCUCUUCCAUGGAUGUUGAGGAGAACCCGUUGAGAAGAUGAAGCCGUAAUGUUCUAUGGGUAGAAAAGAAAGCAAGAAUAAAUUCACAGAGAAGAGUUUUGAACUAGAAGAAAGAGAGGAAGAAGAGAAAGUAAAGCAAGGCCAUGCUUUCUUGUGUGGUUUUGAAGAUGAUCGGUUCGAUAAUGUUCUGAUCAGUAUUUUAGAAAAAGAAAUUGAGGAGGAAGCUCUCCAUCUUAAGAGAAUGCGUUUGCUAACGCAUUCUACUUUUCUGAGAACAUAUUUUUUGGAAAAACUAAAUCGCCAAAAAUGCAUCUCCAUCACCGAAAGAAUUCCACUACCGUUUCGAAAGUGGGUUAAAUACCCGACUAUUGAAAAGGUGGGUAUUUGACUCAUCUGGUCUGAAGGUCUUGGGUUUCAUCGAUGAUGUUUGCUCUCUUUUUAAGUAAGUUUCAUUUCAUUUCUAUUAAAUUUACCUUUGAUAUCUUU